GACGAACGCUGGCGGCGUGCUUAACACAUGCAAGUCGAACGGAAAGGCCCUGCUUUUGUGGGGUGCUCGAGUGGCGAACGGGUGAGUAACACGUGAGUAACCUGCCCUUGACUUUGGGAUAACUUCAGGAAACUGGGGCUAAUACCGGAUAGGAGCUCCUGCUGCAUGGUGGGGGUUGGAAAGUUUCGGCGGUUGGGGAUGGACUCGCGGCUUAUCAGCUUGUUGGUGGGGUAGUGGCUUACCAAGGCUUUGACGGGUAGCCGGCCUGGGAGGGUGACCGGCCCCAUUGGGACGGAGGUCCGCCCCAGGCUCCUACGGGGGGCAGCGGGGGGGAAUAUUGCCCAGUGGGCGGGGGCCUGAGGCAGCAACCCCGGGGGGGGGAUGACGGCCUUCGGGUUGUAAACCGCUUUCGCCUUUGACGAAGCGUGGGUGACGGUAAUGGGUAAAGAAACACCGGCGAACUCCGU
This 467-nucleotide ribosomal RNA is filed under the name uncultured bacterium. Its description in RNAcentral is "partial 16S ribosomal RNA". It matches the Rfam family "Bacterial small subunit ribosomal RNA", at positions 28 to 506 of the family's 1533-position model. The record is from RNAcentral.